This 480-nucleotide ribosomal RNA is filed under the name Streptococcus sanguinis. Its description in RNAcentral is "bacterial SSU rRNA". It matches the Rfam family "Bacterial small subunit ribosomal RNA", at positions 28 to 490 of the family's 1533-position model. The record is from RNAcentral. Lineage: Bacteria; Bacillati; Bacillota; Bacilli; Lactobacillales; Streptococcaceae.
GACGAACGCUGGCGGCGUGCCUAAUACAUGCCAGUAGAACGCUGAAGAGAGGAGCUUGCUCUUCUUGGAUGAGUUGCGAACGGGUGAGUAACGCGUAGGUAACCUGCCUGGUAGCGGGGGAUAACUAUUGGAAACGAUAGCUAAUACCGCAUAAAAUUGAUUAUUGCAUGAUAAUUAAUUGAAAGAUGCAAUUGCAUCACUACCAGAUGGACCUGCGUUGUAUUAGCUAGUUGGUGAGGUAACGGCUCACCAAGGCGACGAUACAUAGCCGACCUGAGAGGGUGAUCGGCCACACUGGGACUGAGACACGGCCCAGACUCCUACGGGAGGCAGCAGUAGGGAAUCUUCGGCAAUGGGGGGAACCCUGACCGAGCAACGCCGCGUGAGUGAAGAGGGUUUUCGGAUCGUAAAGCUCUGUUGUAAGAGAAGAACGGGUGUGAGAGUGGAAAGUUCACACUGUGACGGUAUCUUACCAGAAAG